Molecule: ribosomal RNA, 198 nt
Filed under: uncultured bacterium
Lineage: Bacteria
Description: partial 16S ribosomal RNA
Rfam family: Bacterial small subunit ribosomal RNA
Source: RNAcentral
UAGUUCGGAUUGUAGGCUGAAACUCGCCUACAUGAAGCUGGAAUUGCUAGUAAUCACAGGUCAGCAUACUGUGGUGAAUACGUUCCCGGGCCUUGUACACACCGCCCGUCACACCAUGAGAGUUGAGAAUACCCGAAGCCCAUGUCAAAGUGGUCGAAGGUAGGCUUGAUGAUUGGGGUGAAGUCGUAACAAGGUAAC